GUGAGGUAACGGCUCACCAAGGCGACGACGGGUAGCUGGUCUGAGAGGACGAUCAGCCACACUGGGACUGAGACACGGCCCAGACUCCUACGGGAGGCAGCAGUGGGGAAUCUUGCGCAAUGGGCGACAGCCUGAAGCAGCGACGCCGCGUGGGCGAUGAAGGCCUUAGGGUCGUAAACCCCUUUCAGCCGGGACGAAGAUGACGGUACCUGCAGAAGAAGCCCCGGCAAACUACGUGCCAGCAGCCGCGGUAAU
Molecule: ribosomal RNA, 255 nt
Filed under: uncultured bacterium
Lineage: Bacteria
Description: partial 16S ribosomal RNA
Rfam family: Bacterial small subunit ribosomal RNA
Source: RNAcentral